UGCGGAGGGAUCAUUACUGAGUGAGGGUGCAAGCCCGACCUCCAACCCCAUGUAUACCAUACCAUGUUGCCUCGGGGGCGACCCGGCCUUUGCGCCGGGGCCCCCGGCGGACCACUCAACUCUGCAUCUUUGCGUCUGAGUAUUGAAUUGAAUCAAUCAAAACUUUCAACAACGGAUCUCUUGGUUCUGGCAUCGAUGAAGAACGCAGCGAAAUGCGAUAAGUAAUGUGAAUUGCAGAAUUCAGUGAAUCAUCGAAUCUUUGAACGCACAUUGCGCCCCCUGGUAUUCCGGGGGGCAUGCCUGUUCGAGCGUCAUUACACCACUCAAGCCUCGCUUGGUAUUGGGCGCCGCGGCCUCCGCGCGCCUAAAUGUCUCCGGCCGAGCCUACCGUCUCUAAGCGUUGUGGAAUACAUUUUCGCUUGCGGGAUCGGGAGGCGUCGUGCCGUUAAACAUCCACACCAAAGGUUGACCUCGGAUCAGGUAGGGAUACCCGCUGAACUUAAGCAUAUCAAUAAGCGGAGGAAAAGAAACCAACAGGGAUUGCCCUAGUAACGGCGAGUGAAGCGGCAACAGCUCAAAUUUGAAAUCUGGCGCAAGCCCGAGUUGUAAUUUGUAGAGGAUGCUUCAGGGCAGCGGCCGGUCUAAGUUCCUUGGAACAGGACGUCAUAGAGGGUGAGAAUCCCGUAUGCGACCGGUUGGCACCCGUCACGUAGCUCCUUCGACGAGUCGAGUUGUUUGGGAAUGCAGCUCUAAAUGGGAGGUAAAUUUCUUCUAAAGCUAAAUACCGGCCAGAGACCGAUAGCGCACAAGUAGAGUGAUCGAAAGAUGAAAAGCACUUUGGAAAGAGAGUUAAAAAGCACGUGAAAUUGUUGAAAGGGAAGCGCAUGCAACCAGACUUGUCGGCGGUGUUCCGCCGGUCUUUUGACCGGUUCAUUCGCCGCCGGCAGGCCAGCAUCAUCUGGGAGCGCCGGAUAAAGGCGUAGGGAAUGUGGCUCCUCGGAGUGUUAUAGCCCUUCGCACAAUACGGCGCCUCCCGGGUGAGGUCCGCGCU
Molecule: ribosomal RNA, 1051 nt
Filed under: Dothideomycetes sp. genotype 799 JMUR-2016
Lineage: Eukaryota; Fungi; Ascomycota; Dothideomycetes
Description: eukaryotic LSU rRNA
Rfam family: Eukaryotic large subunit ribosomal RNA (bases 467-1051)
Source: RNAcentral